UUUUGGAAACCCUUAUGAAGGCUACAAGGAACCUGUUAACACAGAGUUCAUCAUCAUGGCCAUUUUCACGGGUGUGCUGUUGAUCUUCAGUGUGCUCGGCUCGGUGUAUGUCUUCAGAGGACAUUGGACUGAGAAACAUGGAGCUGGCGAGAAAAAACUAAAGCAAAGCCAAGAAGAGAAGAAGGUGACAAAGAAGGAGGACGAUAGCUUGGAUGCAACAGCAGCUCAGUCCUACUAUGCCAGUCUAGAGCCUCGUCCCAGGUCUAUUUAUGAUGUACUGGACAGCUCACCUGCCAGAAGAGAGAAUGACCAAGACAAAGCCAAACCCAUGAAAAAGGAACCACCCAAAAAGGCAGCGCAAAAGACAAAAGACAAGGAUGAAGGUGUUUUUGAGUCUGUUUAUGAGAACUUUUAGAUCAACUCGUGAUUGUGGGAUCAUAAUCCAGCGCUUUUCUACUUUAAUCUCAUCUGUGUCAGCGACACUGAGAGAAUCAUCUUUCAAUAAAAUCAACAAAAACCACAAAUGCAAAGUAAAAGUAGUUUGGUACAACACAAAGAUUUCUAAAAGUGUGUAAAAAAUGUAAAUGAACAGAAGCAUUCCCAUCAGAAUGAGCACAGUGUAUCAAAAGUACUAAAGGUUUUCACUAAAUACUACGACUGUACUAUGUAAAAGUCUUUAGCUACACCUCAUUUCUUUAGAUUUUGUGCACCAAUUUAUUCAAACAGCCAAGGCAAAAAGAGAGUUUGAACAGUUCUAAUGAGCUUAAAAGUCAGUAUUCAGUAUGAGCACCUAUAUUUUCCACCAAAGCCUGAAAUUUCUUGCUCAACUUUCUUGUCAUUUCUUUAAGUAGUCUUUAGGAAUAGUUCUCCAGGCAUCUUGAUGGAUGUUCAAUGCUCUUCUUUGGAUGUUGACUGGGUUUGCUCUAUUAUCUGUUGAAAUGAUUCCACACCGCUUCAAUAAUGUUGGUGUGGGAAUAAAGUCUGGUCUCUGGGGAGAUCAAUUCCAUAACUGAC
Long non-coding RNA from Astatotilapia calliptera (eastern happy), 1014 nucleotides. NCBI's taxonomy places the organism in Eukaryota, Metazoa, Chordata, Actinopteri, Cichliformes, Cichlidae. The record is from Ensembl.